UUGCUGGUCCAGUCGGGCGUGCGCAAG
This 27-nucleotide non-coding RNA is filed under the name Mus musculus (house mouse). Lineage: Eukaryota; Metazoa; Chordata; Mammalia; Rodentia; Muridae. The record is from RNAcentral.